Molecule: ribosomal RNA, 253 nt
Filed under: uncultured bacterium
Lineage: Bacteria
Description: partial 16S ribosomal RNA
Rfam family: Bacterial small subunit ribosomal RNA
Source: RNAcentral
UACGUAGGGUGCGAGCGUUAAUCGGAAUUACUGGGCGUAAAGUGUGCGCAGGCGGCAGAGCAAGUCGAGUGUGAAAGCCCCGGGCUUAACCUGGGAAUUGCGCUCGAAACUACUUUGCUGGAGUGUGGCAGAGGAAGGUGGAAUUCCACGUGUAGCGGUGAAAUGCGUAGAGAUGUGGAGGAACACCUAUGGCGAAGGCAGCUCUCUGGGACGGUACUGACGCUGAGACGCGCAAGCGUGGGGAGCGAACAGG